Molecule: long non-coding RNA, 2958 nt
Filed under: Homo sapiens (human)
Lineage: Eukaryota; Metazoa; Chordata; Mammalia; Primates; Hominidae
Description: HSALNT0408072
Rfam family: JPX transcript, XIST activator conserved region 1 (bases 1-125)
Source: RNAcentral
GGAAGACUUAAGAUGGCGGCGUUUGCACGGAGUGCAAUCACUGCGUCCUUACGGGGGUUGCAAGGCGUCCGAAGUAUGAGUCCACUAACAAAAGUCCAGAAACUCGCCAGUUAAUAGUAUUGUGUCUCUUCAAAAUAUCGGAGAAUAAUUUCUUUCUCGCUGAUCGCCUAACUUCUACUGACGAAGCUUGGAAGUUGCAGAAGGUUGGAGUGCAAUGGCGCGAUCUCGGCUGACUGCAACCUCCACCUCCUGGAUUCAAGCUAUUCUCCUGCCUCAGCCUGCCGAGUAGCUGGGAUUACAGGCAUGUGCCACCGCACCCAGCUAAUUUUGUAUUUUUUAGUAGAGAUGGGGUUUCUCCAUGUUGGUCAGGCUGGUCUUGAACUCCUGACCUCAGGUGAUCCGCCCACCUCAGCCUCCCAAAGUGCUGGGAUUACAGGCGUGAGCCACCGCGCCCGGCCAGAACAUUAGUUUUAAACUUCCUAACCCUUGGGAGAAGGCAAAACACUUGAUGAAAUCUACAUAAAGACUAAAACAUUUUACCAAUUUUGCAUUGUUUGUUUGAAAUUGCAUUGACGACUGAUGGAGUUCGCUCUUGUUGCCCAGGCUGGAAUGCAAUGGCAUGACCUUGGCUCACUGCAACCUCUGCCUCCCCAGUUCAAGUGGUUCUCCUGCCUCAGCCUCCCGAGUAGCUGAGAUUACAGAAAUACAAAAAAAAUUCUAAAACUUGUAUGGAACUACAAAAGACAUUAAAUAAUCAAAGUAAUCUUGAGCAACAAGGACACAGCUGGAGGCAUCACUCUACCUGAUUUUGUAAUCCAUUAUCAAAAAACUGUGGUACCAGCAUAAAAACAGAUUCACUGACCAGUGGAACAGGAAAGCCCAGACAUAACUCAUACAUUUCCAUCCAAUUGAUUUUUGACAAAAGUGGCACACAGAAUGGGGAGAGGACAAAUAAAUAAAUAAAUUGUUUUGAGAUAUCUGUAUAUCUAUAUGUGAAAUUGAACCAUUUUCUCAUAGCAUAUAGAAAAAUCAACUCAAAAUGGAUUAAAGCCUGAAAUGUUGCCUUUGAAACUGUAAAACUACUAGUAGAAAAUAUAGGGGAAAAGCUCUAUGAUGUUGUUCUGGGCAAUGAUUUCUUGGAUACAUCCUUAAAAGCAUGGGCAGCAAAAACAGCCAGACAACUAUCAGGGAACCUGCCCAGAUAGUCACAUAGGUUCUUUUCUAUUUUCCCUAAGCAUUGGCCGGGUUGAGAAAUAAAGGGACAGAGUACAAAAGAGAGAAAUUUUAAAGCUGGGCAUCCUGGGGAGACAUCACAUGUCGGUAGGUUCCGUGAUGCCCCCUGAGCCGUAAAACCAGUAAGUUUUUAUUAGGGAUUUUCAAAGGGGAGGGAGUAUACGAAUAGGAGGUGGGUCACAGAGAUCACGUGCUUCACAAGGUAAUAGAAUAUCACAAGGCAAAUGGAGGCAGGGCGAGAUCACAGGACCACAGGACUGGGUUGAAAUUAAAAUUGCUAAUGAAGUUUCGGGCACCAUCGUCAUUGAUAACAUCUUAUCAGGAGACAGGGUUUGAGAGCAACCUGUCUGACCAAAAUUUAUUAGGUGGGAAUUUCCUCGUCCUAAUAAGCCUGGGAGCGCUAUGGGAGACUGGGGCUUAUUUCAUCCCUACAGUCUCGACCAUAGAAGACAGCUACACCCAAGGGGGCCAUUUUAGAGGCCCACCCUCAGGGGCACAUUCUCUUUCUCAGGGAUGUUCCUUGCUGAGAAAAAGAAUUCGGCGAUAUUUCUCCCAUUUGCUUUUGAAAGAAGAGAAAUAUGGCUCUGUUCCGCCUGGCUCACCGGCGGUCAGAGUUUAAGGUUAUCUCUCUUAUUCCCUGAACAUUGCUGUUAUCCUGUUCUUUUUUCAAGGUGCCUAGAUUUCAUAUUGUUUAAACACACAUGCUCUACAAUUUCUGCACUUAACACAAUUAUCACAGGGUCCUGAGGCGACAUACGUCCUCCUCGGCUUACGAGAUGACAGGAUUAAGAGAUUAAAACAGGCAUAGGAAAUCACAAGGGUAUUGAUUGGGGAAGUGAUAAGUGUCCAUGAAAUCUUCACAAUUUAUGUUUAGAGAUUGCAGUAAAGACAGGCAUAAGAAAUUAUAAAAGUAUUAAUUUGGGGAACUAAUAAAUGUCCAUGAAAUCUUCACGAUCCACGUUCUUCCGCCAUGGCUUCAGCCAGUCCCUCCGUUUGGGGUCCCUGACUUCCCGCAACAGACAACUUGAGUUGCAUCAAACUAAAAAGCAUCUGCACUGCAAAGGGUACAGUUAACAGAAUGAAGACACGGGUUUUGAGAAACCAUUUUCAAAUCAUAUAUCUGAUAAGGGGCUAAUAUCCAAAAUGUAUUAAGAAACCCAAGCCCAAUAGCAAGAAAACAACUGUCUUUAAAAGGGGGAAAAGGACCUCAACUUAAAUUUUUCAGAGGAAGACAUGAGUGGCCAAUUGAUUGAUACAUGAAAAAAAUGCUCAACAUCUCUAAUCAUUAGUGAGUUGCAAAUCAAAACUGCAAGAUAUUACCUUACACCUUUUAGAAUGGCUAUUAUUAAAAGGAUGAAAGACAGGUGCUGGCAAGGAUGUGGAUAAAAGGAAGUCCCAACAUUCUGUUAGUGGGAAUAUAAAUUAGUAUAGCCAAUUUAGGAAACUAUAUGGUGGUUCCUUAAGAAACUAAAAGUACAAUUACUAUAUGAUCUAGCAAUCUCUACUUAGGUAUAUAUCCAAAGGAAUUGAAGCAGUAUGUUGAGAUCUUGCACUCCCUUAUUUUGAAAUUAUUUACAAAGCUAAUAAAUGGAAAAGACUUAAGUUUUCAUAACAGAUGAAUGGACAUAGAAGAUGUGUUGUAUAUACAUAUUGGAAUAUUUUUUAUCCUUGGAAAAGAAGGAAAAUUGUCAUUUGUGACAACAUGGAUGAAUCUGUAGUAUACUA